Molecule: long non-coding RNA, 1381 nt
Organism: Cucumis sativus (cucumber)
Lineage: Eukaryota; Viridiplantae; Streptophyta; Magnoliopsida; Cucurbitales; Cucurbitaceae
Exons: 3
Source: RefSeq, a predicted model, not a curated record
UUUUAAUUAAAUUUAUUAAAUUCAUUUAAUUAAAAAUAUCAAGUAAAUAUAUUAAAAUCUUUUAUUUCCCUAUUUUUAGUAAUCCCUCACGUCUCCACGAUGAAACCCUAUUCUCAUCUCCACGCUUCCACACAACACAGGCGAACGACCACUUCUUCGAAUCGACGGACGACUUCCACACAACACAGAGUGGCAAACGGCGAAUGGCUUCCACACGACGAACGCUUCCACCCGGCGAACAGCUUCCACCUGGCGAACAGCUUCAACCCGUUGCGAACAGCUUCAACCCGACGAACGGCUUCCACGCAGCGAACAACUUCCACAGUGAACGACUUCCACGACUGCGAACAUCUUCCGCACGGCGAACUGCUUCCGCACGCCGAACUGCUUCCGCGUUCAAAGGUUUCUAUGCUCCUCAUUCUUAUUGUAUUUAACAUUUUUCAAUGAAUAAUGCUCCCUUGAAUUUGAUUUAUAUCUUGUAAUUAAGGAUGAUAUUGUAAACCCAAAGUGAGAAAAACACAAAGAGAAGAAAAUUGAGAAUGACUCUCGUAUAUUUAUAUUUAUUUGUGUUAUAUGUUUAUGUUGUUUAUGUUCAAAUUCGUAAACAAAUGGUAUAAUCUAAUUGACAAAUAGAGAAGACCAUCAUUUUUCUUUAUUGUUGUUUUUUUUACAGGAAUGAGUAAUGAAAAAUUAAGGGUGACUCUUGGACGAUGUUUUAGACCGUAAUUAAUUUGUUGUCGUUAUGGUUAUAAUUAUCAUAUUGAUUUGUUUAUAGUAAUGAGUAAUGAAUUGGUAUAUUUACUCUUGGUAAGAUUCAUACUUUUGAAUGCCAUUUUUUUUUUAUAGUAAUGAGUAAUGAAUUGAUCUUGUGUGCAUCAUCAUAUCCCAAUUACACAUGCAUCUUGGAAGCUGGUGCCGACUGAGUUGAAAGAAAAAGUAUACAAUAUGAUUGAGUGUUCUUUACAAGUAGGUACGGUUGAAUGUGGAUAUUAUGUCAUGAGAUACAUGCAAGAAAUUGUGACUAAGGACACAAACAUUAUCACUGGUGCGAUUGAUACAAGAAGCCCAUACACACAGCUUGAAUUGGAUAGACGAGGGGAGUGGGCUGGAUUUUUAGCUCGGUACAUAUGAUAGACACACCUAGAUAUGAUCAUGUUAAUUUUGUAAAUGGCUAAGAUAUGGGAAUGCUCAUAACCUUUUUUGUGGAAACGUUUUGUUCAUAGCCAUUAUGAGGGCAAAAGAUAUAUGGGGAUAGGCUUCAAUUUUGAUUAUAUAAGACAACUAUUAUCAUUUAAUAUUUUGGAAUAGGACACAUAUAGGAAAUUUUAGUUGGCUAUAUUGGAUUGGAAUUGUGUAAUUGUUGAUGACAUUGUUGAGAAUA